RNAcentral lists this unclassified non-coding RNA (404 nucleotides) under soil metagenome. RNAcentral's name for it is "partial contains 5.8S ribosomal RNA, internal transcribed spacer 2, and large subunit ribosomal RNA". The stretch from base 1 to 121 matches the Rfam family "5.8S ribosomal RNA", at positions 35 to 154 of the family's 154-position model. The record is from RNAcentral.
GAUGAAGAACGUUGCGAAAUGCGAUAAGUAAUGUGAAUUGCAGAAUUCAGUGAAUCAUCGAAUCUUUGAACGCACCUUGCGCCCUUUGGCUAUUCCGAAGGGCAUGCCUGUUUGAGUAUCAUGAACACCUCAACUCUCAUGGUUUGCCAUGAUGAGCUUGGACUUUGGGGGUCUUGCCGGCCUAUGGGUCGGCUCCUCUCAAAUUAAUCAGCUUGCCAGUGUUUGGUGGCAUCACAGGUGUGAUAACUAUCUACGCUUGUGGUUUUCCAUCAGGUAACCUUCAGUGAUGGAGGUUCGCUGGGGCUCAUAAAUGUCUCUCCUCAGUGAGGACAGCUUUUUUGAACGUUUGAUCUCAAAUCAGGUAGGACUACCCGCUGAACUUAAGCAUAUCAAUAAGCGGAGGA